Molecule: ribosomal RNA, 518 nt
Filed under: Cytospora euonymina
Lineage: Eukaryota; Fungi; Ascomycota; Sordariomycetes; Diaporthales; Cytosporaceae
Also listed under: 1 other name
Description: Cytospora sp. XF-2019g partial large subunit ribosomal RNA
Rfam family: Eukaryotic large subunit ribosomal RNA
Source: RNAcentral
GCGAGUGAAGCGGCAACAGCUCAAAUUUGAAAGCUGGCUCCGGCCCGCAUUGUAAUUUGCAGAGGAUGCUUCUGGUGAGGUGCCUUCCGAGUUCCCUGGAACGGGACGCCAUAGAGGGUGAGAGCCCCGUAUGGAUGGACACCAAACCUGUGUGAAGCUCCUUCAACGAGUCGAGUAGUUUGGGAAUGCUGCUCUAAAUGGGAGGUAAAUCUCUUCUAAAGCUAAAUACCGGCCAGAGACCGAUAGCGCACAAGUAGAGUGAUCGAAAGAUGAAAAGCACCUUGAAAAGGGGGUUAAACAGUACGUGAAAUUGUUGAAAGGGAAGCGCUUGUGACCAGACUUGCGCCGGGCAGCUCAUCAGGGGUUCUCCCCUGUGCACUCUGCCCGGCUCAGGCCAGCAUCGGUUCUCGUGGGAGGAUAAGAACGGUUGGAACGUGGCCCCCCUCCGGGGGGGUGUUAUAGCCUACCGUACGAUACUCCCGUGGGGACCGAGGUUCGCGCUCCGCAAGGAUGCUGGC